AUUCUGGUCGGAAUCCACCUCUCCGCCUGUGCAACACACACUUUACACACGCACGGGGACUGCAAGCGGGCAGCAUCGAUCGUGGCUCCUUUAAGACAAACUCAAGACAGACAUUUUUUUAACCCUCCUUCUCUAAUCUCCCUCCAGUGCAGCACUUGCAAAGAGGGAGAGAGAGAGAGAGAGAAAGAAAGAGAGAGAGAGAAGAGAGAAACUGAUUAGGAAUUAGGACUGAUUCAAGGGAAGCGAGCGCUAGGGCUUUGUGCAUUUGAAUAUUAACAUUUGAGGUGUUCUGACCAGAAGAAGACAGAGCGGAUGAUCAUUCAUUCACCACGUUGACAACCUCGCCUGUGAUUGACAGCUGGAGUGGCAGAAAGCCAUGAGAUUUGGUAGUUGGGUCUGAGGGGCGCUCUUUUUUUUCCUUUUCUUUCUUUCUUUUUUUUUUUUAAACUGAUUUUUGGGGGAGAGAAGAUCUGCUUUUUUUUUGCCCCCGCUGCUGUCUUGGAAACGGAGCGCUUUUAUGCUCAGUGACUCGGGCGCUUUGCUUCAGGUCCCGUAGACCGAAGAUCUGGGACCAGUAGCUCACGUUGCUGGAGACGUUAAGGGAUUUUUCGUCGUGCUUUUUUUUUUUUUUUUUUCCGGGGGAGUUUGAAUAUUUGUUUCUUUUCACACUGGCCUUAAAGAGGAUAUAUUAGAAGUUGAAGUAGGAAGGGAGCCAGAGAGGCCGAUGGCGCAAAGGUACGACGAUCUACCCCAUUACGGGGGCAUGGAUGGAGUAGGCAUCCCCUCCACGAUGUAUGGGGACCCGCAUGCAGCCAGGUCCAUGCAGCCGGUCCACCACCUGAACCACGGGCCUCCUCUGCACUCGCAUCAGUACCCGCACACAGCUCAUACCAACGCCAUGGCCCCCAGCAUGGGCUCCUCUGUCAAUGACGCUUUAAAGAGAGAUAAAGAUGCCAUUUAUGGACACCCCCUCUUCCCUCUCUUAGCACUGAUUUUUGAGAAAUGUGAAUUAGCUACUUGUACCCCCCGCGAGCCGGGGGUGGCGGGCGGGGACGUCUGCUCGUCAGAGUCAUUCAAUGAAGAUAUAGCCGUGUUCGCCAAACAGAUUCGCGCAGAAAAACCUCUAUUUUCUUCUAAUCCAGAACUGGAUAACUUGAUGAUUCAAGCCAUACAAGUAUUAAGGUUUCAUCUGUUGGAAUUAGAGAAGGUACACGAAUUAUGUGACAAUUUCUGCCACCGAUAUAUUAGCUGUUUGAAAGGGAAAAUGCCUAUCGAUUUGGUGAUAGACGAUAGAGAAGGAGGAUCAAAAUCAGACAGUGAAGAUAUAACAAGAUCAGCAAAUCUAACCGACCAGCCCUCUUGGAACAGAGAUCAUGAUGACACGGCAUCUACUCGUUCAGGAGGAACCCCAGGCCCUUCCAGCGGUGGCCACACAUCGCACAGUGGGGACAACAGCAGUGAGCAAGGUGAUGGCUUGGACAACAGUGUAGCUUCCCCCAGCACAGGUGACGAUGAUGACCCUGAUAAGGACAAAAAGCGUCACAAAAAGCGUGGCAUCUUUCCCAAAGUAGCCACAAAUAUCAUGAGGGCGUGGCUGUUCCAGCAUCUAACACACCCUUACCCUUCUGAAGAACAGAAAAAGCAGUUGGCACAAGACACGGGACUCACCAUCCUUCAAGUGAACAAUUGGUUUAUUAACGCCCGGAGAAGAAUAGUGCAGCCCAUGAUAGACCAGUCCAACCGAGCAGUAAGUCAAGGAACACCUUAUAAUCCUGAUGGACAGCCCAUGGGAGGUUUCGUAAUGGAUGGUCAGCAACAUAUGGGAAUUAGAGCACCAGGACCUAUGAGUGGAAUGGGCAUGAAUAUGGGCAUGGAGGGGCAGUGGCACUACAUGUAACCUUCAUCUAGUUAACCAAUCGCAAAGCAAGGGGGAAAAUGAAAAGUCCAAAAGUCAAAAACCUAGGACUGGUACAGUGUCUCCAUGAUGCCAGUAGAGAAAUGGACUCGUAUCUUUCCACUAAGCCACCCCUGGUAGUGCUGUCCUCAGUCUCUUGGGGCAUACUUCUUUCCUGAUCUGGCACAAACGACCCCUCAGGGCUUAAAGACUUGCGAAUGACAGAUGAUCAAGCUCUGGACCCAUGUUGAAAGCAGACUUCUGCGAGGAGAAAGAACAGCUGUUCACCAUCUUCCCAGAGUCAAAUUGAACACACCGGAACAGAGAGAUUGCAUUCUUACCCAAAUACUCUUCGUGAUUGCCUGCUUUGCGGCUUUGGGAUUCUUCAGGGAGUAGAGAACAUUCACACGGAUUGACAUCCCAGUUUUCUCAGCAUGUAAGCAUAUUGUAAUCCUAUUUAUUCACUAAAAAUUUAAAUUCAUGAGAUCUGCACUUUAUUUUCUUUAAUCUGCAGGCCGAAUACAGCUUCUUAUUCACUGAUGACUAACUCAAAAUUUUAAAACGAUAUUUUUAGGUUUGUAUUUCCAAAUAUUAAAAGCGUCUUCCUUCUCUUAUGGCCCCACCCCAGCAUGUUCUUAAGUGGUCUAUUUCAAACAAAAGAAAAUGACAUCCCCCUUUCAACUAGCCAAACAUUAGAUUCUCUCAGAACUGAUUGGGGGUUCACUAGAAGUUUUGCAAUUAGAUUCAUACAAAUUGAAUUAUUUUCUUUUUUUCCAAACAUCGUUCUUAGAACUUUAUAAGUGUAGCAAUACUGGCUUUACAGUUUCAUGUGGCUCAUUUACAAAUAAAGGUAUUUUAAUAAAACCAAGUUCUGUGUAACUUUGAGAAACAAAAAGCUGGAACAAUCUCACAUUAAAACAUUACAAAAGGAUUGUAAAGGGAAAUUUAAAGGGAGAAAACUUGAUUCUAUAAUGCAAUCCAGCAGUAAUCAAUUUUACCUUCAAUAUCUUGCUUUUGUUUUCAAAAUGCUAAAUAAACAAUACAUAAUGCAUCCCUCAUCAGCCAAACCAUGGAGGCUCUGUGCUCAAAUAACAGGAAACAUAUUCAAUUUUCCUAACAGAAGACAGUUCAUUAAGCUGUGCCACAUCAAAUAAAACUUUAAUUUCUCCAGCAUCAGAGUCGCAAUGAAAGCAAUUGAAGAAGAUGAGCCAUAUGGUACUUCUAUCAGCAAACACAUAUUGCUCAUUCCCCCAAAGUUUUCUAAUUCUGCUCCCCAGACCUGUGUAAUAUAGAUAAUGUGCUCCGAGAGCAGCAACCAUGAGCUAUCUAGUGUACACUUCUAAUACUGUAUUUAAUGGGAAAUAAUGAAUCAUAAAAGCCUAGAGAAGACGGCUUUUGCUAACCUAAAUCUCAGCUGUAAUUUCAUUGUUCUGUGCCUAAGAUGCUGUUUGCCCUUUCCAAACAACAGCAGUUGAACAUAAUUAUGCUGCUUCGAACCUGGGCUUGAAAAAGCAUCCCUAAUAUAACCAACUUUCUAUUAACUCCUGAAAUUCUGAAUUUAAUGAUGCACCGAUACAGGCAUUGAGAUAACCAAGCAUGUGUCAUUUAAAAAUCCAAACAAGCAUUUUUCUUCUUCUUCUCUUUGGUCAGACUGCUCAAUGCUUUUAUGCUUCCUCCUCCGCUCCCUGCUUGCGUCCAUCCCCCACCCCACACCCCACCCCAUGCAACAGGAGUGGCAUGAUUAAAAAUGAGGAGAUUUUCUUGUUAUUAGCAAAUUUGACAUUUGCCUGAUGAAAUGCACAUAGAAUGUGAAAGCUAUACAGUACUCAGAAGAAUGUCUCCACUCCAAUCCUAGCUACCAAGAUGAAAUAAUUUAGGUAAAGGAAAUGUAAAGGUCCUUGUACAUCUCUUGCUGCAGAAUGCUAGGGUUGUGUUAUAAAUGAAAGAACCAAAUAUUGCUGAGCUUUAAGAGUGAUAGUAUUCUGACACAUGUGAAGCUCAUAGUGUUUCUUCUCUCACCUUAGCUGCUUUGACAAUUCACUUAAACAUAAUACAUAUGCUCAAAUGCAGCAACUUACGUGUCGUGAGCCCAGCCUUUCUCUGGUUUGAGAUCUUGGGGCUGGGGCUUUGUUCAUUUUUAGGAAAAAAUGUUGCUUUUUCCUCUAACUAGGUCAAUAAUUCCAGCUUUUCCGUUUUUAAAGCUUAUCAAAUCAAUAUUUUACCAACAUGAUGCUAAUUUAGAACAUCAUCAGAUAACACUGUGGAUACAUAUUGAAAACAUAUUUUAAUGGUUUUGUUUGUUUUGGCAUCAUAUGAACCAAGAACAAUUAAAUUAAAAAGAGACUUUUAAAAGUUAGAGAUUGCCUUUUUAAAGCUUAUUAAAAUCAGCAUGUUAACAUGCCUGUCUCUGAAUUAGCUCUCACACUUGAUUGCCAUCAUUAAAACGAGUUGUUUGGGUGCUGCUCAAAGCCGAUUCUUACUAGUUGUUAACUUGAAAUCUCUUUCCAUUGAAAAGUUAAAAAAAAAAAAAAAUCAUUCUCACUAGUGGAAGAAACAGUCACCAAAAUGUGAACUAGCACAGCAAGCCAGCAACAUUAAACCACGAAAAGACCAACAGGUAAAAUAACUACAGUAACAUCUAAAACACACUCAGGAAAAAAAAAAACCACAACAACAACAAAGAAGCAGUCCAUUGAUUAUAUUUCAUGAAUGCCUUAAAACAAAUGUUUAAACAGUUUCUGAAACAGUGCAGAAAACCUCUGCAUGCUCCACUGGGUUGCAAUGACAAUGGUCUAUUGCAAUGUAAAACACGCUGGAGGAUAAAAAGGUGCUUUUUGUUACCAUUUUAUCAAAGCUGUUCAUCUUCGAGCUGCAGGCAGCAUUUUGCUGGAAUUGCAGAUAUUUCUCUGUCCAGGCUCCUUUGUUUGUGCAUCUCAUUUGCAUAUAUUUAUCUCCAGCUGAGGGUGCGUUCUGCUCAUUAAGGCCUCCCUUCACAUUAUUUCAUAAGCCAGCUGCUGAGAGGGAUUUCACCUGUGGUGACUGAGAAAAGAGGGGUGAAAAACUAAAUUCUUCAUAAAAAGGAAAUCUUCUGAGUCUCUUCCCCUAUAAAUGGGCACCAUUUGUGUUAAACAGCCUCUUGUCAUGAUAGAUGCCUCCAGAGGUCAGGGGUUAAAGUUGAUUCGAAGGUCAGCAGUAAAACAACAGACAAACCAGACGCCAAACUGGUUCCUUAGCUGUCGGUGGGAGCUGUGGUACAACCAGGUCUUGAACCUUUUUCAACCUCUAAUAAAACAGGGGAUGAAUCUGAAGUGGAUCAACCAGGCCCCUGAGGAAGCAGCACAGAAAAACACAAAUAAUAUCAAUAUCAGGCAGCCACGGGGAAACAAUGGGGCAUUUCUCCGUGCUACAUGCAUGCUGCUAUUGUUUCAAGGGCUGGGGAAUUAAUUCCACUUAUUUAUUUAAGGCGUGUCAACUCACUGCCUAAACCUGUUUCAGUGUCAAGAUGAAUAAAACUUUUAUGGCUCAUAAAAUAGAGCCAUUCA
RNA transcript from Symphalangus syndactylus (siamang), 5436 nucleotides. It is a transcript of the gene named Meis homeobox 1, with no coding region annotated. The record is from RefSeq and is a predicted model, not a curated record. Lineage: Eukaryota; Metazoa; Chordata; Mammalia; Primates; Hylobatidae.